GAUGAACGCUGGCGGCGUGCCUAAUACAUGCAAGUCGAGCGAACAGACGAGGAGCUUGCUCCUCUGACGUUAGCGGCGGACGGGUGAGUAACACGUGGAUAACCUACCUAUAAGACUGGGAUAACUUCGGGAAACCGGAGCUAAUACCGGAUAAUAUAUUGAACCGCAUGGUUCAAUAGUGAAAGACGGUUUUGCUGUCACUUAUAGAUGGAUCCGCGCCGCAUUAGCUAGUUGGUAAGGUAACGGCUUACCAAGGCUACGAUGCGUAGCCGACCUGAGAGGGUGAUCGGCCACACUGGAACUGAGACACGGUCCAGACUCCUACGGGAGGCAGCAGUCGGGAAUCUUCCGCAGUGGGCGAAAGCCUGACGGAGCAACGCCGCGUGAGUGAUGAAGGUCUUCGGAGCGUAAAACUCUGUUAUUAGGGAAGAACAAAUGUGUAAGUAACUAUGCACGUCUUGACGGUACCUAGUCAGAAAGCCACGGCUAACUACGUG
RNAcentral lists this ribosomal RNA (497 nucleotides) under uncultured bacterium. RNAcentral describes it as "partial 16S ribosomal RNA". It matches the Rfam family "Bacterial small subunit ribosomal RNA", at positions 28 to 507 of the family's 1533-position model. The record is from RNAcentral.